GCAGAUCCAUGUCCGAGCCUCCACCGUUGUAAUCUGGUAUCCCAUUCUCAUCCUUGUCAGACCUUUGUCUUCCCAAAAUCAAAUUUGUCCUGAACCAAAACAGAAAGAAUUCGAUUCAUUUACUUUUAGCAACAUGUAACAGAAAGCCUACUAAAUCUUCCUUUGGUGGAAUCUGCACUUUCAUCUACCCAGAAAGGAACAAUUUUGCACAAUAAAGAACACAGACGUCAAGGACUAAUAUAAAUGAAGUGAGAUCUUCGUUCCAAAAAUAAGUGAAAUUAACAUGUCAUACAUAUCUGCUCCUUAGUAUAAGUAACUACUCCUACUUAAUGCCCAACAGUACAGUCUUAGAAAAAUGAAGGGAAAAGGGAUAAGUUUAGAACUGAAGUACGCUUGAAGCCCAACAGUACAGUAUGUCUGAAGCCAACAAUCCAAUGACCCUGCAUAAGAAAUAAUUAUUGAAUAUUUUUCUGACCUGAUGCAGGGUCAUGGGGUUGUUGGUGGCUGGAAGACGGC
This 516-nucleotide long non-coding RNA is filed under the name Triticum aestivum (bread wheat). RNAcentral's name for it is "long non-coding RNA (TAES_LNC013261)". Lineage: Eukaryota; Viridiplantae; Streptophyta; Magnoliopsida; Poales; Poaceae. The record is from RNAcentral.